CCUACGGGAGGCAGCAGUGAGGAAUAUUGGUCAAUGGACGCAAGUCUGAACCAGCCAUGCCGCGUGCAGGAAGACGGCUCUAUGAGUUGUAAACUGCUUUUGUACGAGGGUAAACGCAGAUACGCGUAUCUGUCUGAAAGUAUCGUACGAAUAAGGAUCGGCUAACUCCGUGCCAGCAGCCGCGGUAAUACGGAGGAUUCAAGCGUUAUCCGGAUUUAAUGGGUUUAAAGGGUGCGUAGGCGGUCGGAUAAGUUAGAGGUGAAAUCCCGAGGCUCAACUUCGGAAUUGCUUCUGAUACUGUUCGGCUAGAGAGUAGUAGCGGUAGGCGGAAUGUAUGGUGUAGCGGGGAAAUGCUUAGAGAUCAUACAGAACACCGAUUGAGAAGGCAGCUUACCAGGCUACUUCUGACGUUGAGGCACGAAAGCGUGGGGAGCAAACAGGAUUAGAUACCCCAGUAGUC
This 460-nucleotide ribosomal RNA is filed under the name uncultured bacterium. RNAcentral's name for it is "partial 16S ribosomal RNA". It matches the Rfam family "Bacterial small subunit ribosomal RNA", at positions 338 to 795 of the family's 1533-position model. The record is from RNAcentral.